GCUUGUCUCAAAGAUUAAGCCAUGCAUGUCUAAGUAUAAGCAACCUUAUACAGCGAAACUGCGUACAGCUCAUUAUAUCAGCAAUUAUUUAUUUGAAGAUCACCUAUUACAUGGAUAACCGUGGUAAUUCUAGAGCUAAUACAUGCGAAAAGGAUGUCUUCGGACAUCUGUACUUACUGGUUUUGAAUCAUUGUGUACGUGAGAGUCAGUAACAGUUAUACGGAUCGCCAUCGGCGACGUGUCAAGCGAAUUUCUGAUCUAUCAGCUUGAUGAGAGGGUAGUGUCCUCUCAUGGCUACGACGGAUAACGGGGAAUUGGGGUUCGAUUCCGGAGAGGGAGCUUGAGAAAUAGCUACCACAUCUAAGGAAGGCAGCAGG
This 377-nucleotide ribosomal RNA is filed under the name uncultured fungus. RNAcentral's name for it is "partial small subunit ribosomal RNA". It matches the Rfam family "Eukaryotic small subunit ribosomal RNA", at positions 30 to 432 of the family's 1831-position model. Lineage: Eukaryota; Fungi. The record is from RNAcentral.